UUAGAGGAAGUAAAAGUCGUAACAAGGUUUCCGUAGGUGAACCUGCGGAAGGAUCAUUAACGAUUGCUACUCAAGCAAAAAAAAGACAAAGACAUGGUUAAAGCUAACACUCGUGACGAGUUCAGGGAGUGUGACGAGCCUCUCUCUCUCUCUCUCGCGCUAGCGAAGAGAAAGGGCCAUCGUGGUCGCUACGUGCUGUUGCACUGUGCGGACGAUGUAAAACAAACAACCGUUGGGGUCUCUCACAAAUGCAGUACAAGAUAUCGACACGUAUGGUAAAUGCUAACACUCGUGAGGAGUUCAGGGAGUGUGACGAGCCUCUCUCUCUCUCGCGCUAGCGAAGAGCAAGGGCCAUCGUGGUCGCUACGUGCUGUUGCACUGCGCGGACGAUGUAAAACAAACAACCGUUGGCCUCUUAUAUUUUGCAAACAAUCUAUCGCCAUGGCAUACAGGCCUGGCUCUGGUACGAGUCUCUCGCAGUCUCAAAACCAACCUUACAACUCUGAGCGGUGGAUCACUUGGCUUGUGGAUGCUAUGAAGACCAUAGCUAAGUGUGAGAAUGGCAGCGAGCCGUCGCUAUAUGCGCUGUCCUCUUCUUAUCACAUGUCGAAUGCACAUUGCGCCCCACCCAGCGGUCGGCUAACCUCCUGCAGACAAAAGCCUGUGUUCUGGAGCAAAGGUUGAUGUGUGGCCCUCGAGCAACGGCGGGGGAGCCAGGAGCACAUUGACGUGCGUUCCAGCCACUCGUGAGUAGUCAGGCUGAACCCCAUGGUGGGGCACUCCUAGUCGAGUGUGGUGGAUCGGGCUCAUCUCCUAUUGCGCUUUGCCGCGAAGGAGCUUGAGUUUCUUUGUUGCUGGUGGCUAUUCUGGUCGACAUCAGUCGUGCCUGUACAAACCUGCCUUGGCUCGUGCCUCUGUGCGUUUAACUUACGCGGUUGCGCAUAUCGAAAGGCCAAAGCUGGCGAUCACUCGUGCGGCCAGGGCACUACCUUCUGCCAGGUUCAUUUUUCGAUAAUGGCCGGUGGUGCGCAGAGGUCCAAAAUUCGGAUUUGGUAACGUAUGAGAGUCGGGUCUCUGUUUCUCUGUCUCGCUCACGCACAGCGAGUGGUGUACGAUACUUACCCACAUAUGCUUGUCGUCCGUCCCGCCCACGCGCAUGUCCGGCUAAGGCUCGUUUCUCGUACUAUCCGAGAACGACACACGGGCCCUACAUCUUUCAAUCACACUGGUCGUCCGACAAACGCCUGACGAGUUCAGGAAGGAUUUUCCAAGUGUGGUGGAAGUAACGGACUUGCGCGCAGUAUCGCACCACUCCCUUCACUGUGUGUCGGCGGGGAAUGAGUGAGCCUGCCAUCUCGCUUUUUUUGCAUAUGCCACCACCUCGACUUAGGAGAGGAUACCCGCUGAACUUAAGCAUAUCAGUAAGCGGAGGAAAAGAAACCAAUCAGGGAUUCCCUUAGUAGGGGCGACCGAAAAGGGAUGAGCCCAGCGCAGAACCUCCCGGGCCACCCGGGCUGCGGCGGAAUGUUGCGUUAAGGGAAAGGUCGUAGUCAAACCCCACAGCCACGCGAGCACUAAGUAAGUCACGAAUUGGCUAUCCCAACUAACGGAGGGAGCAUCUCCACGGAGGGUGUCAGACCCGUGUGGGCGCGUGUAAAUGCUGUGUGGGCUCGGCCUCUUUUCCCUGAGAGUCGCGUUGCUUGAGCAUGCAGCGCUAAGCAGGUCGUAAACUCGAUCUAAGGCUAAAUAUGUCCACAAGACCGAUAGUGAACAAGUACCGUGAGGGAAAGUUGAAAAGCACUCUGAAGAGAGAGUCUAAAGACCGUGAAACCGCUC
RNAcentral lists this ribosomal RNA (1836 nucleotides) under Niphargus sp. n. VZ-2016. RNAcentral describes it as "eukaryotic LSU rRNA". The stretch from base 1377 to 1836 matches the Rfam family "Eukaryotic large subunit ribosomal RNA", at positions 1 to 410 of the family's 3401-position model. Lineage: Eukaryota; Metazoa; Arthropoda; Malacostraca; Amphipoda; Niphargidae. The record is from RNAcentral.